RNAcentral lists this transfer RNA (67 nucleotides) under Salmostoma bacalia (large razorbelly minnow). Its description in RNAcentral is "tRNA-Cys". Lineage: Eukaryota; Metazoa; Chordata; Actinopteri; Cypriniformes; Danionidae. The record is from RNAcentral.
GGCCCCGUGGUGAGUUUCACAUUGGAUUGCAAACCCAAAGACGCAGACCUCCCGUUUGCCCGGGCUU